RNAcentral lists this ribosomal RNA (253 nucleotides) under uncultured bacterium. Its description in RNAcentral is "partial 16S ribosomal RNA". It matches the Rfam family "Bacterial small subunit ribosomal RNA", at positions 524 to 776 of the family's 1533-position model. RNAcentral also lists the same sequence under 1 other name. The record is from RNAcentral.
UACAGAGACUGCAAGCGUUAUUCGGAUUCACUGGGCGUAAAGGGUGCGCAGGCGGCCAAGUGUGUUAGGCGUGAAAGCCCGGGGCUUAACCUCGGAAUUGCACCUAAAACUACUUGGCUAGAGCAUUGGAGAGGGUAGCGGAAUUCACGGUGUAGCAGUGAAAUGCGUAGAUAUCGUGAGGAACACCAGAGGCGAAGGCGGCUACCUGGACAAUUGCUGACGCUCAGGCACGAAAGCGUGGGGAGCAAAAGGG